Molecule: ribosomal RNA, 440 nt
Filed under: uncultured bacterium
Lineage: Bacteria
Description: partial 16S ribosomal RNA
Rfam family: Bacterial small subunit ribosomal RNA
Source: RNAcentral
CCUACGGGUGGCUGCAGUGGGGAAUAUUGCACAAUGGGGGAAACCCUGAUGCAGCGACGCCGCGUGAGUGAAGAAGGAAUUCGUUAUGUAAAGCCCUAUCAGCAGGGAAGAAAAUGACGGUACCUGAGUAAGAAGCCCCGGCUAACUACGUGCCAGCAGCCGCGGUACUACGUAGGGGGCAAGCGUUAUCCGGAUUUACUGGGUGUAAAGGGAGCGUAGACGGCAGUGCAAGUCUGGAGUGAAAGGCGGGGGCGCAACCCCCGGACUGCUCUGGAAACUGUACGGCUGGAGUGCAGGAGGGGUAAGUGGAAUUCCUAGUGUAGCGGUGAAAUGCGUAGAUAUUAGGAGGAACACCAGUGGCGAAGGCGGCUUGCUGGACUGUAACUGACGUUGAGGCUCGAAAGCGUGGGGAGCAAACAGGAUUAGAUACCCUAGUAGUC